This 501-nucleotide ribosomal RNA is filed under the name Pelagomonas calceolata. Its description in RNAcentral is "SSU rRNA". It matches the Rfam family "Eukaryotic small subunit ribosomal RNA", at positions 691 to 1193 of the family's 1831-position model. The record is from RNAcentral. Lineage: Eukaryota; Pelagophyceae; Pelagomonadales; Pelagomonadaceae.
UCGGUCAUCCUUGAGAAGAGCGGUCCUGGCAUUCAGUUGUCGGGGUCGGGAUUCUCGACGUUUACUGUGAAAAAAUCAGAGUGUUCAACGCAGGCUUACGCCUUGAAUACAUUAGCAUGGAAUAAUGAGAUAGGACCUUGGCGGUCUAUUUUGUUGGUUUGCACGCCGAGGUAAUGAUUAAAAGGGACGGUUGGGGUUCUUCGUAUUCAAUUGUCAGAGGUGAAAUUCUUGGAUUUAUGGAAGACGAACUGCUGCGAAAGCGUCGAACAAGGACGUUCUCAUUAAUCAAGAACGAAAGUUAGGGGAUCGAAGAUGAUUAGAUACCAUCGUAGUCUUAACCAUAAACUAUGCCGAUUCAGGAUUGGCGGUCGUUUGUUCUCGACUCCGUCAGCACUGUAUGAGAAAUCAAAAUCUUGGGGUUCCGGGGGGAGUAUGGUCGCAAGGCUGAAACUUAAAGAAAUUGACGGAAGGGCACCACCAGGAGUGGAGCCUGCGGCUUAA